ACACACUGUGCUUGCACACCGUGUUUUCUUGAGUCGCGAACGGGUGAGUAACGCGUAGGUAACCUGCCUAUUAGCGGGGGAUAACUAUUGGAAACGAUAGCUAAUACCGCAUAAUAUUAAUUAUUGCAUGAUAAUUGAUUGAAAGAUGCAAGCGCAUCACUAGUAGAUGGACCUGCGUUGUAUUAGCUAGUUGGUAAGGUAAGAGCUUACCAAGGCGACGAUACAUAGCCGACCUGAGAGGGUGAUCGGCCACACUGGGACUGAGACACGGCCCAGACUCCUACGGGAGGCAGCAGUAGGGAAUCUUCGGCAAUGGACGAAAGUCUGACCGAGCAACGCCGCGUGAGUGAAGAAGGUUUUCGGAUCGUAAAGCUCUGUUGUAAGUCAAGAACGUGUGUGAGAGUGGAAAGUUCACACAGUGACGGUAGCUUACCAGAAAGGGACGGCUAACUACGUGCCAGCAGCCGCGGUAAUACGUAGGUCCCGAGCGUUGUCCGGAUUUAUUGGGCGUAAAGGGAGCGCAGGCGGUCAGGAAAGUCUGGAGUAAAAGGCUAUGGCUCAACCAUAGUGUGCUCUGGAAACUGUCUGACUUGAGUGCAGAAGGGGAGAGUGGAAUUCCAUGUGUAGCGGUGAAAUGCGUAGAUAUAUGGAGGAACACCAGUGGCGAAAGCGGCUCUCUGGUCUGUCACUGACGCUGAGGCUCGAAAGCGUGGGUAGCGAACAGGAUUAGAUACCCUGGUAGUCCACGCCGUAAACGAUGAGUGCUAGGUGUUAGGCCCUUUCCGGGGCUUAGUGCCGGAGCUAACGCAAUAAGCACUCCGCCUGGGGAGUACGACCGCAAGGUUGAAACUCAAAGGAAUUGACGGGGGCCCGCACAAGCGGUGGAGCAUGUGGUUUAAUUCGAAGCAACGCGAAGAACCUUACCAGGUCUUGACAUCCCGAUGCUNUUCUUAGAGAUAGGAAGUUAC
RNAcentral lists this ribosomal RNA (968 nucleotides) under Streptococcus mutans. RNAcentral's name for it is "bacterial SSU rRNA". It matches the Rfam family "Bacterial small subunit ribosomal RNA", at positions 69 to 1017 of the family's 1533-position model. Lineage: Bacteria; Bacillati; Bacillota; Bacilli; Lactobacillales; Streptococcaceae. The record is from RNAcentral. RNAcentral also lists the same sequence under 1 other name.